Small nuclear RNA from Otolemur garnettii (small-eared galago), 109 nucleotides. The record is from Ensembl. NCBI's taxonomy places the organism in Eukaryota, Metazoa, Chordata, Mammalia, Primates, Galagidae.
GUGCUUGCUUCAGUAGCACAUAUACUAAAAAAUUGGAAAAAUGCAGAGAAGAUUAGCAUGGCCCCUGAGCAAGGAUGACACACAAAUUCGUGAAACGUUCCAGUUUUUU